CGUAGGUGGCAAGCGUUAUCCGGAAUUAUUGGGCGUAAAGCGCGCGUAGGCGGUUUCUUAAGUCUGAUGUGAAAGCCCACGGCUCAACCGUGGAGGGUCAUUGGAAACUGGGAAACUUGAGUACAGAAGAGGAAAGUGGAAUUCCAUGUGUAGCGGUGAAAUGCGCAGAGAUAUGGAGGAACACCAGUGGCGAAGGCGACUUUCUGGUCUGUAACUGACGCUGAUGUGCGAAAGCGUGGGGGAUCAAACAGGAUU
RNAcentral lists this ribosomal RNA (255 nucleotides) under uncultured bacterium. RNAcentral describes it as "partial 16S ribosomal RNA". It matches the Rfam family "Bacterial small subunit ribosomal RNA", at positions 526 to 779 of the family's 1533-position model. The record is from RNAcentral.